This 76-nucleotide transfer RNA is filed under the name Rhizobium phage RHph_TM3_3_3. RNAcentral's name for it is "tRNA-Met". It matches the Rfam family "tRNA". From Rfam's summary of the family: Transfer RNA (tRNA) molecules are approximately 80 nucleotides in length. Their secondary structure includes four short double-helical elements and three loops (D, anti-codon, and T loops). The record is from RNAcentral. Lineage: Duplodnaviria; Heunggongvirae; Uroviricota; Caudoviricetes.
GUCGGAGUAGAGCAGCCGGUAGCUCGCCAGCCUCAUAAGCUGGAGGCCGCAGGUUCGAAUCCUGCCUCCGCAACCA